GAUGAACGCUGGCGGCGUGCCUAAUACAUGCAAGUCGAGCGAACAUAUCAGGAUUUUUCGCGUCCGACGUAAGCGGCGGACGGGAGAGUAACACGUGGAUAACCUAACUAUAAGACUGUGGUAACUUUGCGAAACCGGAGCUAAUAGCGGAUAAUAUAUUGAACCUAAUGGUUCCAGAGUCAAAUACGGUUUUUGUGUCAGGUAUUGGUUGAUCCGCGCCGCAUUAACUAGUUGGUAAGGUAACGGCUUACCAAGGCUUCGAUGCGUAGCCGACCUGAGAGGGUGAUUCGGUAGCCUGGAAGUGAGAAACGGUCGAGACAUCUACGGGAGGAAGCAGUAGAGAAUCUUACGCGAGGGACGAGAGGCUAACCGAGCAACGCCGGCUAAGUGAUGAAGGUCUCCGGAUGGGAAAACGCUGUUAUUAGGGAGAAACAAAUGUGUAAGUAACUAGGACGGUAUUGACGGUACCUGAACAGGAAGCCACGGCUAACUACGUG
This 497-nucleotide ribosomal RNA is filed under the name uncultured bacterium. RNAcentral's name for it is "partial 16S ribosomal RNA". It matches the Rfam family "Bacterial small subunit ribosomal RNA", at positions 28 to 507 of the family's 1533-position model. The record is from RNAcentral.